AUGAAAGGAGGUCUUGAUUAUAUAGUUCUUAAAAGUUUAGACGCAGAUGGAAUUCACAUCAUUUCAAGUGUUCCUGGUCAGAGCAUCGGUCUUGAUCAUUACAUACGGCAGGUUGAUGAUAUGGUUGAGGAAUUUACUGAAACCAAUCUUAUGAUGGAGAAGACUGGGGACUUCACAAUGAAAAUAAAGAAGCUCUUUCGACUUAUGGAUGUUUCUCCACCCACACCAGCAAAGGCCGCUCGCCACUGCCGUCGCAAGCAAGUGUUGCCCCACUGUUUCCUCACGCCAAAGACUGAAGCAUCGCCGCUGCUGUCUCUUUGCGCACCGCAGACGUGCAUCGACCCGCAAUUCUUUUUUCACGCGCCGAAGACCCAAAAUGUGGAGCUCAACAGGUUACUCGAAAUCCUGACAUGA
This 414-nucleotide ribosomal RNA is filed under the name Triticum aestivum (bread wheat). Its description in RNAcentral is "partial small subunit ribosomal RNA". Lineage: Eukaryota; Viridiplantae; Streptophyta; Magnoliopsida; Poales; Poaceae. The record is from RNAcentral.